GUCAGGGAAUUACGAGCAAAGCUUAAAACCCAAAGGACUUGACGGUCCCCCAUAUCCCCCUAGAGGAGCCUGUCCUAUAAUCGAUAAUCCCCGUUCAACCUCACCAUAUUUAGCUAUCUCAGCCUGUAUACUUCCGUCGUCAGCCUACCACGUGAGCGAUGCUUAGUUAGCCCAAUGUCCACACAUGUGUUCAUAUCGUCAAUACGUCAGGUCAAAGUGCAGUAAAUGCUAUGGGAAGAGAUGGGCUACACUUUUUAAUGUAAAAGAAACGGAAAACAUUAAUGAAACUUUGUUGUGAAGGUGGAUUUAGAAGUAAAAGCAAAACAUUAAGUUCCUUUUAACCUGGCACUGGGGCAUGU
This 359-nucleotide ribosomal RNA is filed under the name Eleutherodactylus heminota (Shreve's robber frog). RNAcentral's name for it is "partial 12S ribosomal RNA". It matches the Rfam family "Bacterial small subunit ribosomal RNA", at positions 871 to 1384 of the family's 1533-position model. Lineage: Eukaryota; Metazoa; Chordata; Amphibia; Anura; Eleutherodactylidae. The record is from RNAcentral.